GAUCCUGGCUCAGGAUGAACGCUGGCGGCGUGCCUAACACAUGCAAGUCGAACGAAGCAAUUAAAAUGAAGUUUUCGGAUGGAUUUUUUAAUUGACUGAGUGGCGGACGGGUGAGUAACGCGUGGAUAACCUGCCUCACACUGGGGGAUAACAGUUAGAAAUGACUGCUAAUACCGCAUAAGCGCACAGUACCGCAUGGUACAGUGUGAAAAACUCCGGUGGUGUGAGAUGGAUCCGCGU
Molecule: ribosomal RNA, 240 nt
Filed under: uncultured bacterium
Lineage: Bacteria
Description: partial 16S ribosomal RNA
Rfam family: Bacterial small subunit ribosomal RNA
Source: RNAcentral